RNAcentral lists this ribosomal RNA (447 nucleotides) under uncultured bacterium. RNAcentral describes it as "partial 16S ribosomal RNA". It matches the Rfam family "Bacterial small subunit ribosomal RNA", at positions 29 to 523 of the family's 1533-position model. The record is from RNAcentral.
AACGAACGCUGGCGGCAGGCCUAACACAUGCAAGUCGAGCGCGCAGCAAUGCGAGCGGCAGACGGGUGAGUAACGCGUGGGAGCCUUCCUAUUGGUGCGGAAUAGCUCAGGGAAACUUGGGGUAAUACCGCAUAAGCCCGAAAGGGGAAAGAUUUAUCGCCGAUAGAUGGGCCCGCGUUGGAUUAGCUAGUUGGUGAGGUAACGGCUCACAAAGGCGACGAUCCAUAGCUGGUUUGAGAGAAUGACCAGCCACACUGGGACUGAGACACGGCCCAGACUCCUACGGGAGGCAGCAGUGGGGAAUCUUGGACAAUGGGCGCAAGCCUGAUCCAGCCAUGCCGCGUGAGUGAUGAAGGCCUUCGGGUUGUAAAGCUCUUUUGCCGGGGACGAUAAUGACGGUACCCGGAGAAUAAGUCCCGGCUAACUUCGUGCCAGCAGCCGCCGCGG